GAUGAACGCUGGCGGCGUGCCUAAUACAUGCAAGUCGAGCGAACGGACGAGAAGCUUGCUUCUCUGAUGUUAGCGGCGGACGGGUGAGUAACACGUGGAUAACCUACCUAUAAGACUGGGAUAACUUCGGGAAACCGGAGCUAAUACCGGAUAAUAUUUUGAACCGCAUGGUUCAAAAGUGAAAGACGGUCUUGCUGUCACUUAUAGAUGGAUCCGCGCUGCAUUAGCUAGUUGGUAAGGUAACGGCUUACCAAGGCAACGAUGCAUAGCCGACCUGAGAGGGUGAUCGGCCACACUGGAACUGAGACACGGUCCAGACUCCUACGGGAGGCAGCAGUAGGGAAUCUUCCGCAAUGGGCGAAAGCCUGACGGAGCAACGCCGCGUGAGUGAUGAAGGUCUUCGGAUCGUAAAACUCUGUUAUUAGGGAAGAACAUAUGUGUAAGUAACUGUGCACAUCUUGACGGUACCUAAUCAGAAAGCCACGGCUAACUACGUGCCAGCAGCCGCGGUAAUACGUAGGUGGCAAGCGUUAUCCGGAAUUAUUGGGCGUAAAGCGCGCGUAGGCGGUUUUUUAAGUCUGAUGUGAAAGCCCACGGCUCAACCGUGGAGGGUCAUUGGAAACUGGAAAACUUGAGUGCAGAAGAGGAAAGUGGAAUUCCAUGUGUAGCGGUGAAAUGCGCAGAGAUAUGGAGGAACACCAGUGGCGAAGGCGACUUUCUGGUCUGUAACUGACGCUGAUGUGCGAAAGCGUGGGGAUCAAACAGGAUUAGAUACCCUGGUAGUCCACGCCGUAAACGAUGAGUGCUAAGUGUUAGGGGGUUUCCGCCCCUUAGUGCUGCAGCUAACGCAUUAAGCACUCCGCCUGGGGAGUACGACCGCAAGGUUGAAACUCAAAGGAAUUGACGGGGACCCGCACAAGCGGUGGAGCAUGUGGUUUAAUUCGAAGCAACGCGAAGAACCUUACCAAAUCUUGACAUCCUUUGACAACUCUAGAGAUAGAGCCUUCCCCUUCGGGGGACAAAGUGACAGGUGGUGCAUGGUUGUCGUCAGCUCGUGUCGUGAGAUGUUGGGUUAAGUCCCGCAACGAGCGCAACCCUUAAGCUUAGUUGCCAUCAUUAAGUUGGGCACUCUAAGUUGACUGCCGGUGACAAACCGGAGGAAGGUGGGGAUGCCGUCAAAUCAUCAUGCCCCUUAUGAUUUGGGCUACACACGUGCUACAAUGGACAAUACAAAGGGCAGCGAAACCGCGAGGUCAAGCAAAUCCCAUAAAGUUGUUCUCAGUUCGGAUUGUAGUCUGCAACUCGACUACAUGAAGCUGGAAUCGCUAGUAAUCGUAGAUCAGCAUGCUACGGUGAAUACGUUCCCGGGUCU
RNAcentral lists this ribosomal RNA (1372 nucleotides) under uncultured bacterium. RNAcentral describes it as "bacterial SSU rRNA". It matches the Rfam family "Bacterial small subunit ribosomal RNA", at positions 28 to 1381 of the family's 1533-position model. The record is from RNAcentral.